GACGAACGCUGGCGGCGUGCUUAACACAUGCAAGUCGAACGGAAAGGCCCUUCGGGGUACUCGAGUGGCGAACGGGUGAGUAACACGUGGGUGAUCUGCCCUGCACUUUGGGAUAAGCCUGGGAAACUGGGUCUAAUACCGAAUAUGAUCAUCGGCUUCAUGGUCGGUGGUGGAAAGCUUUUGCGGUGUGGGAUGGGCCCGCGGCCUAUCAGCUUGUUGGUGGGGUUAUGGCCUACCAAGGCGACGACGGGUAGCCGGCCUGAGAGGGUGACCGGCCACACUGGGACUGAGAUACGGCCCAGACUCCUACGGGAGGCAGCAGUGGGGAAUAUUGCACAAUGGGCGCAAGCCUGAUGCAGCGACGCCGCGUGAGGGAUGACGGCCUUCGGGUUGUAAACCUCUUUCAGCCCAGACGAAGCGCAAGUGACGGUAUGUGCAGAAGAAGGACCGGCCAACUACGUG
RNAcentral lists this ribosomal RNA (462 nucleotides) under uncultured bacterium. RNAcentral describes it as "partial 16S ribosomal RNA". It matches the Rfam family "Bacterial small subunit ribosomal RNA", at positions 28 to 507 of the family's 1533-position model. The record is from RNAcentral.